This 252-nucleotide ribosomal RNA is filed under the name uncultured microorganism. RNAcentral's name for it is "partial 16S ribosomal RNA". It matches the Rfam family "Bacterial small subunit ribosomal RNA", at positions 524 to 776 of the family's 1533-position model. The record is from RNAcentral.
UACGUAGGUCCCGAGCGUUGUCCGGAUUUAUUGGGCGUAAAGCGAGCGCAGGUGGUUUAAUAAGUCUGAUGUAAAAGGCAGUGGCUCAACCAUUGUAUGCAUUGGAAACUGGUAGACUUGAGUGCAGGAGAGGAGAGUGGAAUUCCAUGUGUAGCGGUGAAAUGCGUAGAUAUAUGGAGGAACACCGGUGGCGAAAGCGGCUCUCUGGACUGUAACUGACACUGAGGCUCGAAAGCGUGGGUAGCAAACAGG